Molecule: ribosomal RNA, 809 nt
Filed under: uncultured bacterium
Lineage: Bacteria
Description: bacterial SSU rRNA
Rfam family: Bacterial small subunit ribosomal RNA
Source: RNAcentral
CGACCGGCGCACGGGUGCGUAACGCGUAUGCAAUCUACCUUAUACUGGGGGAUAGCCUUUAGAAAUGAAGAUUAACACCCCAUAGUAUAUAGAUAUGGCCUCAUAUUUAUAUUAAAGGCUACGGUAUAAGAUGAGCAUGCGUCCUAUUAGCUAGUUGGUAUGGUAACGGCAUACCAAGGCGACGAUAGGUAGGGGCCCUGAGAGGGGGAUCCCCCACACUGGUACUGAGACACGGACCAGACUCCUACGGGAGGCAGCAGUGAGGAAUAUUGGACAAUGGUGGGAACACUGAUCCAGCCAUGCCGCGUGCAGGAAGACUGCCCUAUGGGUUGUAAACUGCUUUUGUAUAGGAAGAAUAAGGUGUACGCGUACACUGAUGACGGUACUAUACGAAUAAGCAUCGGCUAACUCCGUGCCAGCAGCCGCGGUAAUACGGAGGAUGCAAGCGUUAUCCGGAAUCAUUGGGUUUAAAGGGUCCGUAGGCGGGUAAUUAAGUCAGGGGUGAAAGUUUUCGGCUCAACCGGAAAAUUGCCUUUGAUACUGGUUAUCUUGAAUUACUAUGAAGUGGUUAGAAUAUGUAGUGUAGCGGUGAAAUGCAUAGAUAUUACAUAGAAUACCGAUUGCGAAGGCAGAUCACUAAUAGUACAUUGACGCUGAUGGACGAAAGCGUGGGUAGCGAACAGGAUUAGAUACCCUGGUAGUCCACGCUGUAAACGAUGGUCACUAGCUGUAUGGGCGCAAGCCUGUGUGGCUAAGCGAAAGUGAUAAGUGACCCACCUGGGGAGUACGUUCGCAAGAAUGAAACUCAA